UAUACUUGUAGCAUAUGUGCAACGUAGCAAACACAUUCUUGCAUGCUUUUUUUUUUUUUUUUUGAAAAAAAGUGAAGUGAUUAAUUUUAGGAUUUACAGCAACCCAGACCAUUGAUUUGAUGGGUUCCAUCAUGGAUACACCAUGAAGUAAGAAUCUUACUUGGGUACAGUCCCUACCUCGGUUCCAUCAUGGAUACACCAUGAAGUAAGGCAUCUGUUGACUGUUACCCAGCUCAUUGCUGUAGGUGGCUCAACAUCUUGAUUGUGUUGCAGGAUUUGAUGUUCCCCUUACUCAUCUGAGCUAGUCCCUUCCCCUUUUUAAUUUUUUUUUUUUUUUUAAAUGUUAUUGAUUUGGAUCCCCAUUUCUUGAGUAGUUUUUAAUGAAGGAUCUAAAAUUAAGCUAGGGAAGAAAGAAGAUGAAGAAGCUGAUGAAAUAUAGCAGUACCUAUGGCAGUUAUUGCUUCUUGUAGGAAAAUGAAAAAGCUUGUCCAAGACAUUUCAUUGGUUGAGGCUGCACUUAGGACCUCGUCUCAGCUUGUUGUAAGUUCUGAUGGAAAGAAAGUGAAGCGAUUGCAUGCAUUGCCAGAUAUUGACAUCGAAGAUGCAAAGGUAUUUUU
Long non-coding RNA from Magnolia sinica, 617 nucleotides. RefSeq lists it as uncharacterized. The transcript has 3 exons. Lineage: Eukaryota; Viridiplantae; Streptophyta; Magnoliopsida; Magnoliales; Magnoliaceae. The record is from RefSeq and is a predicted model, not a curated record.